This 442-nucleotide ribosomal RNA is filed under the name uncultured bacterium. Its description in RNAcentral is "bacterial SSU rRNA". The stretch from base 61 to 442 matches the Rfam family "Bacterial small subunit ribosomal RNA", at positions 1 to 364 of the family's 1533-position model. The record is from RNAcentral.
CGAGAGCCGGGCAAAAAAACGACAGCGAGGGGUAAAAUGCAGCCCUGUGGCGUCACUGUGACAAUUCAUGACACUGCACCAAGAGGAUAUGAAGGGCACAGGCGUUAAAAGUGCCACGCGACGGGAAGGGAAUGAGUCCCAGCAAUCCCCCGGUAGGGUGGCAAACGGGUGAGUAAUACAUGGGUGAUCUACCUUAGGGGAUGGGGAUAUCCUUCCGAAAGGAGGGGCAAUACCGAAUAUUGUCCGGAGCCGUGAAGGGUUCCGGGGAAAGGGAGGCCUCUGAUACAAGCUUUCGCCUUAAGAUGAGCCCAUGGCCCAUCAGCUAGUUGGUAGGGUAAAGGCCUACCAAGGCUACGACGGGUCGCUGGUCUGAGAGGACGACCAGCCACACUGGCACUGAGAUACGGGCCAGACUCCUACGGGAGGCAGCAGUGAGGAAUAU